Molecule: ribosomal RNA, 253 nt
Filed under: uncultured bacterium
Lineage: Bacteria
Description: partial 16S ribosomal RNA
Rfam family: Bacterial small subunit ribosomal RNA
Source: RNAcentral
UACGUAGGGUGCAAGCGUUGUCCGGAAUUAUUGGGCGUAAAGAGCCCGUAGGCGGUUUGUCGCGUCGAAUGUGAAAACCCGGGGCUCAACCCCGGGCCUGCAUUCGAUACGGGCAGACUAGAGUUCGGUAGGGGAGUCUGGAAUUCCUGGUGUAGCGGUGAAAUGCGCAGAUAUCAGGAGGAACACCGGUGGCGAAGGCGGGACUCUGGGCCGAUACUGACGCUGAGGAGCGAAAGCGUGGGGAGCAAACAGG